This 404-nucleotide ribosomal RNA is filed under the name Actinomycetes bacterium. RNAcentral describes it as "Actinobacteria bacterium partial 16S ribosomal RNA". It matches the Rfam family "Bacterial small subunit ribosomal RNA", at positions 355 to 776 of the family's 1533-position model. The record is from RNAcentral. Lineage: Bacteria; Bacillati; Actinomycetota; Actinomycetes.
UGGGGAAUAUUGGACAAUGGGCGCAAGCCUGAUCCAGCCAUGCCGCGUGAGGGAUGAAGGUCCUAGGGUUGUAAAGCUCUUUCACUGGGGAAGAUAACGACGGUAACCGGAGAAGAAGCCCCGGCUAAUGUCGUGCCAGCAGCCGCGGUAAUACGAAGGGGGCCAGCGUUGUGCGGAUUUACUGGGCGUAAAGCGCACGUAGGCGGUCUUUUAAGUCAGGGGUGAAAUCCCAGGGCUCAACCCGGGAACUGCCUUUGAUACUGGAAGUCUUGAAUGUGGUAGAGGUGAGUAGAAUUCCUAGUGUAGAGGUGAAAUUCGUAGAUAUUCGGAGGAAAACCAGUGGCGAAGGCGGCUCACUAGAAGCUUACUGACGCUGAGGUGCGAAAGCGUGGGUAGCAAACAGG